GAUGAACGCUGGCGGCGUGCCUAAUACAUGCAAGUCGAGCGAACAGACGAGGAGUUUGCUCCUCUGACGUUAGCGGCGGACGGGUGAGUAACACGUGGAUACCCUACCUAUAAGACUGGGAUAACUUCGGGAAACCGGAGCUAAUACCGGAUAAUAUUUUGAACCGCAUGGUUCAAUAGUGAAAGACGGUUUUGCUGUCACUUAUACAUGGAUCCGCGCCGCAUUAGCUAGUUGGUAAGGUAACGGCUUACCAAGGCAACGAUGCGUAGCCGACCUGAGAGGGUGAUCGGCCACACUGGAACUGAGACACGGUCCAGACUCCUACGGGAGGCAGCAGUAGGGAAUCUUCCGCAAUGGGCGAAAGCCUGACGGAGCAACGCCGCGUGAGUGAUGAAGGUCUUCGGAUCGUAAAACUCUGUUAUUAGGGAAGAACACAUGUGUAAGUAACUAUGCACGUCUUGACGGUACCUAAUCAGAAAGCCACGGCUAACUACGUG
Molecule: ribosomal RNA, 497 nt
Filed under: uncultured bacterium
Lineage: Bacteria
Description: partial 16S ribosomal RNA
Rfam family: Bacterial small subunit ribosomal RNA
Source: RNAcentral